This 76-nucleotide transfer RNA is filed under the name Candidatus Microsaccharimonas sossegonensis. RNAcentral's name for it is "bacterium AMD02 tRNA-Leu". It matches the Rfam family "tRNA". From Rfam's summary of the family: Transfer RNA (tRNA) molecules are approximately 80 nucleotides in length. Their secondary structure includes four short double-helical elements and three loops (D, anti-codon, and T loops). The record is from RNAcentral. Lineage: Bacteria; Candidatus Saccharimonadota; Candidatus Saccharimonadia; Saccharimonadales (SeqCode); Saccharimonadaceae (SeqCode).
CGGCUAUUCGUUCAAUUGGUAGGACAAUCGUGUGAGAAGCGAAAGAUGCUGGUUCGAUCCCAGCAUAGACCGACUA